RNAcentral lists this long non-coding RNA (561 nucleotides) under Equus caballus (horse). RNAcentral's name for it is "lncRNA (ENSECAG00000053794.1)". The record is from RNAcentral. Lineage: Eukaryota; Metazoa; Chordata; Mammalia; Perissodactyla; Equidae.
CUGUCCCUGCCUAUACUCCCUUGGCCCUCUUGGAGCUCACCGGCAGAGAAGUUCCUUUACCUACUAGAUGCUUCCUGCAUCUCUCUGCCCUAGGGUGUUUUCCGGCUACCGAAGUGUGUUCUGUCAGAACACAGAGCAGGCUGGAAGCACUAAGGAGUUAAUGCGUCCAGAAGCAACCCUCAGCCACUGAUCUUCAGAAAGGGAUUUGGCGUGAUGGUACAGCUGGGACCCUGGAACCUCUGCUUCCUCAGUUUAGGUAAUUGGUGCAGCAGGGAAGGUGUUAUUGGACCAACGGGAAGACACUCCUUCCCGGAAAUCUCCAGCAACUUUCAAGUGUGCUUAGCCACAAGGGAUGAUGGGAAAUGAGUCUAUGGCAUUUCAAGCCUCCAUCGUGGAAGCAGGCUCCGCCCAUAGGACGCAGGGGAUAAAACUGGCUGUGGGUAGACAACUGAACAGUAUCUACUCCACAGCUUGCCAAGUUCCAGUUUUUAUCUGAUCAUCUUUGCAUCAAUAAUACAUGAGGCUGAGAUCUUCUGAAAAGAGGAUACUUUUUCUUCCCCC